Molecule: non-coding RNA, 117 nt
Organism: Subdoligranulum sp. 4_3_54A2FAA
Lineage: Bacteria; Bacillati; Bacillota; Clostridia; Eubacteriales; Oscillospiraceae
Source: Rfam
GCCGGUGCCGAUGACGCCAAGGUUCCACCUGUUCCCAUUCCGAACACAGAAGUUAAGCUUGGUUGUGCCGAAGAUACUUGGUUGGAGACGACCUGGGAAAAUAGGUAGGUGCCGGCU